Molecule: ribosomal RNA, 739 nt
Filed under: Pseudomonas sp. ZR3-10
Lineage: Bacteria; Pseudomonadati; Pseudomonadota; Gammaproteobacteria; Pseudomonadales; Pseudomonadaceae
Description: bacterial SSU rRNA
Rfam family: Bacterial small subunit ribosomal RNA
Source: RNAcentral
UGCAAGUCGAGCGGCAGCACGGGUACUUGUACCUGGUGGCGAGCGGCGGACGGGAGAGUAAUGCCUAGGAAUCUGCCUGGUAGUGGGGGAUAACGCUCGGAAACGGACGCUAAUACCGCAUACGUCCUACGGGAGAAAGCAGGGGACCUUCGGGCCUUGCGCUAUCAGAUGAGCCUAGGUCGGAUUAGCUAGUUGGUGAGGUAAUGGCUCACCAAGGCGACGAUCCGUAACUGGUCUGAGAGGAUGAUCAGUCACACUGGAACUGAGACACGGUCCAGACUCCUACGGGAGGCAGCAGUGGGGAAUAUUGGACAAUGGGCGAAAGCCUGAUCCAGCCAUGCCGCGUGUGUGAAGAAGGUCUUCGGAUUGUAAAGCACUUUAAGUUGGGAGGAAGGGCAGUUACCUAAUACGUAAUUGUUUUGACGUUACCGACAGAAUAAGCACCGGCUAACUCUGUGCCAGCAGCCGCGGUAAUACAGAGGGUGCAAGCGUUAAUCGGAAUUACUGGGCGUAAAGCGCGCGUAGGUGGUUCGUUAAGUUGGAUGUGAAAUCCCCGGGCUCAACCUGGGAACUGCAUUCAAAACUGACGAGCUAGAGUAUGGUAGAGGGUGGUGGAAUUUCCUGUGUAGCGGUGAAAUGCGUAGAUAUAGGAAGGAACACCAGUGGCGAAGGCGACCACCUGGACUGAUACUGACACUGAGGUGCGAAAGCGUGGGGAGCAAACAGGAUUAGAUACCCU